This 532-nucleotide ribosomal RNA is filed under the name uncultured bacterium. RNAcentral's name for it is "bacterial SSU rRNA". It matches the Rfam family "Bacterial small subunit ribosomal RNA", at positions 772 to 1302 of the family's 1533-position model. The record is from RNAcentral.
ACUAAAUAGAUACCCAGGUAGUCCACGCCCUAAACGAUGAUUACUCGACAUACGCGAUACACAGUGUGUGUCUGAGCGAAAGCAUUAAGUAAUCCACCUGGGAAGUACGACCGCAAGGUUGAAACUCAAAGGAAUUGACGAGGGUCCGCACAAGCGGUGGAGCAUGUGGUUUAAUUCGAUGAUACGCGAGGAACCUUACCUGGGCUAGAAUGCUGCCUGACGAAUCCUGAAAGGGGUUUUUAUAGCAAUAUACAGGUAGUAAGGUGCUGCAUGGCCGUCGUCAGCUCGUGCCGUGAGGUGUUGGGUUAAAGUCCCGCAACGAGCGCAACCCCGUAUUUCCAGUUGCCAACACGUAAUGGUGGGAACUCUGGAGAAACUGCCGCCGUAAGGCGUGAGGAAGGAGGGGUAUGAUGUCAGGUCAUCAUGGCCUUUAUGCCCAGGGCUACACACGUGCUACAAUGGGGAGGACAAAGGGACGCUACCUGGUGACAGGAUGCAAAUCUCAAAAACCGUCUUCUCAGUUCAGAUUGUA